AUACUGCCAUAAAUGAAUAUAUU
RNAcentral lists this non-coding RNA (23 nucleotides) under Arabidopsis thaliana (thale cress). Lineage: Eukaryota; Viridiplantae; Streptophyta; Magnoliopsida; Brassicales; Brassicaceae. The record is from RNAcentral.